This 74-nucleotide transfer RNA is filed under the name Mesomycoplasma hyorhinis. RNAcentral's name for it is "tRNA-Trp". It matches the Rfam family "tRNA". From Rfam's summary of the family: Transfer RNA (tRNA) molecules are approximately 80 nucleotides in length. Lineage: Bacteria; Bacillati; Mycoplasmatota; Mycoplasmoidales; Metamycoplasmataceae. The record is from RNAcentral.
GGGGGUUUAGUAUAAUGGCAGUACCACGGACUCCAAACCCGUUAAUAAAGGUUCGAAUCCUUUAACCCUCGCCA